Molecule: ribosomal RNA, 253 nt
Filed under: uncultured bacterium
Lineage: Bacteria
Description: partial 16S ribosomal RNA
Rfam family: Bacterial small subunit ribosomal RNA
Source: RNAcentral
UACAGAGGGUGCGAGCGUUGUUCGGAAUUACUGGGCGUAAAGCGCGCGCAGGCGGCCGUUUAAGUCUCACCGUACAAGCCCGGAGCUCAACUCCGGACCGCGGGGGAUACUGGAGGGCUAGGGACAUGUAGGGGCGAGCGGAAUUCCGGGUGUAGCGGUGGAAUGCGUAGAGAUCCGGAAGAACACCGGGGGCGAAGGCGGCUCGCUGGGCAUGGUCCGACGCUGAGGCGCGAAAGCUAGGGGAGCGAAAGGG